ACCAUGCAGUCGACGGUAGCACAGAGGAGCUUGCUCCUCGGGUGACGAGUGGCGGACGGGUGAGUAAUGUCUGGGGAUCUGCCCGAUGGAGGGGGAUAACCACUGGAAACGGUGGCUAAUACCGCAUAACGUCGCAAGACCAAAGUGGGGGACCUUCGGGCCUCACACCAUCGGAUGAACCCAGAUGGGAUUAGCUAGUAGGUGGGGUAACGGCUCACCUAGGCGACGAUCCCUAGCUGGUCUGAGAGGAUGACCAGCCACACUGGAACUGAGACACGGUCCAGACUCCUACGGGAGGCAGCAGUGGGGAAUAUUGCACAAUGGGCGCAAGCCUGAUGCAGCCAUGCCGCGUGUAUGAAGAAGGCCUUCGGGUUGUAAAGUACUUUCAGCGGGGAGGAAGGGGACGAGGUUAAUAACCUCGUUCAUUGACGUUACCCGCAGAAGAAGCACCGGCUAACUCCGUGCCAGCAGCCGCGGUAAUACGGAGGGUGCAAGCGUUAAUCGGAAUUACUGGGCGUAAAGCGCACGCAGGCGGUCUGUUAAGUCAGAUGUGAAAUCCCCGGGCUUAACCUGGGAACUGCAUUUGAAACUGGCAGGCUUGAGUCUUGUAGAGGGGGGUAGAAUUCCAGGUGUAGCGGUGAAAUGCGUAGAGAUCUGGAGGAAUACCGGUGGCGAAGGCGGCCCCCUGGACAAAGACUGACGCUCAGGUGCGAAAGCGUGGGGAGCAAACAGGAUUAGAUACCCUGGUAGUCCACGCCGUAAACGAUGUCGACUUGGAGGCUGUGAGCAUGACUCGUGGCUUCCGGAGCUAACGCGUUAAGUCGACCGCCUGGGGAGUACGGCCGCAAGGUUAAAACUCAAAUGAAUUGACGGGGGCCCGCACAAGCGGUGGAGCAUGUGGUUUAAUUCGAUGCAACGCGAAGAACCUUACCUGCUCUUGACAUCCACGGAAUUCGGCAGAGAUGCCUU
This 969-nucleotide ribosomal RNA is filed under the name Pantoea ananatis. Its description in RNAcentral is "bacterial SSU rRNA". It matches the Rfam family "Bacterial small subunit ribosomal RNA", at positions 53 to 1012 of the family's 1533-position model. The record is from RNAcentral. Lineage: Bacteria; Pseudomonadati; Pseudomonadota; Gammaproteobacteria; Enterobacterales; Erwiniaceae.